Felis catus (domestic cat) is the source of this 1379-nucleotide long non-coding RNA. RefSeq lists it as uncharacterized. The record is from RefSeq and is a predicted model, not a curated record. The transcript is spliced from 3 exons. Lineage: Eukaryota; Metazoa; Chordata; Mammalia; Carnivora; Felidae.
CCCCGCCAGGUGCCUCCACAGGCCUCAUCUCCGCGGCUCUCUAUUGUACUCGUGUAGUGAUACUAGAGUACAACCGGUUCCCGAUGAGUUGUCUGCUGCAGCAAUGGAACAAGUCACGCUGGUGCCUUCAACUCUAAAGUGGAUUGCAGGAUAUCACAGUAUGUACACAUUGGAGUGGGAAUUUUAAGAUGACUGCAAGAGAAGUACUUUGCCAGGGGCUGGAAGAGAUGGCAAGUGAAAUGAAAGGGUGCACGGGUGUCGUAGGGUCUUCCAGGUUCCUCCAAUGAUUCUGGAGAUGCCCAUUUGGAACUGAAAGCCUCUGAUACUGUAAGGUGGAAGGGAUGAUGCUCCAAACAAGGACUGACCAGUGAUCGCACCAGCUCCUCUUAGAAGCUUCUGAGGCCUAUGGGGCCUUUCGUGGGCUGCCUCUCGUCUCCCCCCACUCUUGGCUUCUCAAUUUACUCCUUUGGAUCUUUCCAGAAACCGUCUUGGGCAGUUCUGAAACAAAGGUCACCUAGUGGCCAUAAACAAAAACAUUUUGAAAUCAUCAUUUCCCAGAAAGACUUCUGUCUUGAGUCAUUACCCUCUGCUGCUUCCUUGGAAAACCUCCGUGAUUCAUAGAUUGCUCCAAAUGGCAAAGACCAAAAUGGCUAGGGCCUGGGGCAUAUGAUCUUGCCAGCAGCAAUUCAGCACCAUCCCCCUAAACCUGGUUUAUGCCACUUUUUAGGGUCAGAACAAACUGUAGUUUGGGGUGGGCCCGAUGGGGAAAUAGGGAGAAAAGGCUGAAGCAGCAGGUAGAGUUAUUUGUAUCUUCAUCCCCCCAGCACCUGACUCUGAGAGAGAAUCCACCUAGUGUGUGCUUAGGUGAUUUCCCAGCUCAUCAUGUCCUAGAACCCCCGAUGUUUACCUUCCUGGGGUACUUGUAUGGAGCAGUCACCCUCUUCACAUGCUCCUGGAGCUCCCGAGUUAGUUUCUCUGGAUCUUGAGAGGAGUAAGUUGGAGAAAGGACUAUAAAAGCCUUCACCACCUGCCAGAAAAAAAAAAAUCCAAAAACAAAACCCCCAAACCAGAAAGAAUCAGGCCCUGUAUAACAACUCUUUUCUCCUUAACCUAGCCUUGUAAAUAAGUGCUUACACUUGCCAGCCCAGCACGAAAAUCCUGCCAGCAGGAUUCAGCCAGCGAAAUGGACGACAUCAUUUUUUUUGCCCUGUUGCCUCCUUUCCAGGAACAACUAUUGGAAGCACUGGCUUUUAUGGAAUGAUUCCAGGAUCCUACCUGUUUCCCAAACUUCUCUCCUUUCCUGAAAUGACACCAUUAGCAGUCAAUGGGCUUCUCUUCCAAUGGAAAUACUUUGGAGUAAAGAGCUUCACAAACUCUAA